GCUGACGACCGGCGCACGGGUGCGUAACGCGUAUACAAUCUGCCUUGCACUAAGGGAUAGCCCAGAGAAAUUUGGAUUAAUAUCUUAUGGUUUAUAAUUAUGGCAUCAUAUUUAUAAUAAAGGUUACGGUGUAAGAUGAGUAUGCGUCCCAUUAGUUUGUUGGUAAGGUAACGGCUUACCAAGACUACGAUGGGUAGGGGCCCUGAGAGGGGGAUCCCCCACACUGGUACUGAGACACGGACCAGACUCCUACGGGAGGCAGCAGUGAGGAAUAUUGGACAAUGGAGGAGACUCUGAUCCAGCCAUGCCGCGUGCAGGAAGACGGUCCUAUGGAUUGUAAACUGCUUUUAUACAGGAAGAAUAAGGACUACGUGUAGUCUGGUGACGGUACUGUAAGAAUAAGGACCGGCUAACUCCGUGCCAGCAGCCGCGGUAAUACGGAGGGUCCGAGCGUUAUCCGGAAUUAUUGGGUUUAAAGGGUCCGUAGGCGGGCUGUUAAGUCAGGGGUGAAAGUUUGCAGCUCAACUGUAGAAUUGCCUUUGAUACUGACGGUCUUGAAUUAUUGUGAAGUGGUUAGAAUAUGUAGUGUAGCGGUGAAAUGCAUAGAUAUUACAUAGAAUACCGAUUGCGAAGGCAGAUCACUAACAAUUGAUUGACGCUGAUGGACGAAAGCGUGGGUAGCGAACAGGAUUAGAUACCCUGGUAGUCCACGCCGUAAACGAUGGAUACUAGCUGUUUGGAUUUCGAUCUGAGCGGCCAAGCGAAAGUGAUAAGUAUCCCACCUGGGGAGUACGUUCGCAA
Molecule: ribosomal RNA, 801 nt
Filed under: Cellulophaga sp. AU120A_Ted2_SNAX
Lineage: Bacteria; Pseudomonadati; Bacteroidota; Flavobacteriia; Flavobacteriales; Flavobacteriaceae
Description: bacterial SSU rRNA
Rfam family: Bacterial small subunit ribosomal RNA
Source: RNAcentral